CUACAGCCAUACCUCCCUGAAAGCGCCUGAUCUUGUCUGAUCUCAGAAGCUAAGCAGGGUUUGGCCUGGUUAGUACUUGGAUUGGAGGAAGCAAAAGAAAACCAGCUCUAAUUAGC
This 116-nucleotide ribosomal RNA is filed under the name Castor canadensis (American beaver). Lineage: Eukaryota; Metazoa; Chordata; Mammalia; Rodentia; Castoridae. The record is from RNAcentral.